This 964-nucleotide long non-coding RNA is filed under the name Rattus norvegicus (Norway rat). Its description in RNAcentral is "long non-coding RNA NONRATT013109". The record is from RNAcentral. Lineage: Eukaryota; Metazoa; Chordata; Mammalia; Rodentia; Muridae.
CCUCUACCAUGCUUUUGUGGCCACCACAUAAUCAUGACCAUGUCCCUACGCUUUCUAGUCUCCAUAACCCUGGGAUAAAUAAUCUUGUAUUAAUGAAUCACCAUCUUGGGUAUUUUGUUAUAACGACAGAAAAGAAAAUGAAAAUCUAAUUCCAACAUUCUUCUCUCUAACCUAAUCUUUAUUACUGGGGGUGCCUGUCUUUUCCUUCCAGACAUUUCCAGACCCUUGCACACCAUGACAUACCGAGAAGGAAACAUACCAUCCCCAAGCACAAAAGUGGCCCAGGAUGGAGUAGAACUCCCUGUACUAUCCUGGUUCUGCCCUUUAGUCCCCAGUGAACACUCUGGAUCUCUGUAAGCGCUGACUUGCAGCUUCUACCUCUCGGGGCCUCUUCAGGCUUCUGCUUUCAGGCAGCAGAUGCCAAAACUGCCUUCUCACACAUUUUCUCAAACUCUCACAAAGAAGCACCUGACUAAUGUAUCACGAAGACAUUCUUCUUCCUGUCUCACCCCCCCCCCAUCUCCCUGACCACUGCUAAAAGACUACACUAGCUUUCACCAACCAAUACUUACAAACUCUAGUAACAAAGCUGCCCUUAAUAAAGUAUCUAUAUAUGUAGUUAUCCAAGUCUAGACCAGUGGUCCCCAAUAGGACCUUCUCCUGUAACGUAAUUAGUCGCUGCUUCUAGCUUUAGAAUGUGGCUACUGCCAUGGGCUGGAGAGGUGGUUCAGCAGGUAAAGCACUGGCUGCUCUUUGAGAAGAUCUGGGUUCGAUUCCCAGCACCCACACAGCAGCUUAAACCAUCUGUAACUCCAAUUCUAGGGGAUCUGGUGCCCUCUUUUGGCUUCUGUGGGCACUGCAUACAUAUGGUCUACAGAUUUACAUGCAAGAAAAAGCUCCAUUAAUACUGAUAAGAUAAAAAUAAAAAUAAAAUUAAAAACAACGUGACGGUGUUACUAAACCC